RNAcentral lists this ribosomal RNA (400 nucleotides) under phytoplankton environmental sample. Its description in RNAcentral is "partial small subunit ribosomal RNA". It matches the Rfam family "Eukaryotic small subunit ribosomal RNA", at positions 587 to 989 of the family's 1831-position model. The record is from RNAcentral.
AGCUCCAGUAGCGUAUAUUAAAGUUGUUGCAGUUAAAAAGCUCGUAGUUGGAUUUCUGGUACGCUGCGCCUAGCCCGGCUUCGGUUGAGUGCUGGUGCGCGGUUGCCAUCCUUCUAGAGAACACGGCUUCCCUUCAUUGUGGCAGGACGUGGAAUCUAGAUCAUUUACUUUGAAAAAAUUAGAGUGUUUAAAGCAGGCUUGUGCUAUGAAUACAUUAGCAUGGAAUAAUAAUAUAGGACUUUGGUUCUAUUUUGUUGGUUUCUAGGACUAAAGUAAUGAUUGAUAGGGAUAGUUGGGGGUGCUAGUAUUCAGCGGCCAGAGGUGAAAUUCUUGGAUUCGCUGAAGACUAACUUAUGCGAAAGCAUUCACCAAGGAUGUCUUCUUUAAUCAAGAACGAAAG